GCGGUGGGGCAGCUGACGGCUCGGAGUGUGCGGGGAUGGGGACAGGGAGGGUGAGGGGACGCGGAAGCUGCUCUGGGGGCUGGUUGAGGAGCGUGAAGCCGGCCGAGGCAUGUGGGGUUUACUGAGCUGCGAGAGGAUGUCGGGGGGCUCAGGGGAUCUAGGAUGGGUACGGGCAGAGGAAGUGGGGACUGAAGAGCUGCAGGGACCUGGUGGGGAGGGUACAGGGAAGGAGAUAGGAAGAGAGUGUAAACAUGUGGCGUGAGGGAAGGGAGGGACCCAAACAGGCCUCUGGAGCCUUGGAGAGACACUGACUGCAGCAGCAUUUAUAGGUGCUGAUGGCAUUUUUAUAUUGAUUUCUCUCUUCCUGUGAAGAAAGAAGCAUCUAUGGGGAAUAUGCACCUAGGAGAAUGUUUUAGUGGUUUUCCUUUAAGAGGAGAAGCUACUUUGUUUCUGUUAAGGAAGUAGCAAAAACUAAGUUGCUUCAUGCUCUAAUUUUUGAACACUGCCUAGAUGAGCUGUGCAUGUGCCUUAGGUUCACCAAAGAAUUUUUAAAAGACUUGCAAAGUCAGGUCCUGGCAGUGGAUACUGAACAACUCCAGUGCUGCUGUUAAUGUUGAUGAAAUUGUAUGGAGCAACACCAAAGCAUCCUGAGGGUGUAUGUGGCACAUGACUCUGUAGAAAUCACAAGUGAAUAUUUUUAGAGCAAGAAAUAUCACAAAUGAGUAUUAACUGGCUGCUAAGGACAGGAGGUUUCAAAGGAGUCAAAUCCAAGUUGGCAUCCUGCAGUCAUCUUCAGGAUCACAAAAAAUCUGCCAGGUGAAGGAGGAUAUUGGAGAUUUUUAUCUUCUGAAGCAGAGCUAAAGUGGAGGGAAAAUGAGAUGCCUGGUUCAGUGGAUUAAAUGUUAGAAGAUAUCUCUUAAUCUGGAAAGAGCAGAGUGGGG
Long non-coding RNA from Haemorhous mexicanus (house finch), 941 nucleotides. RefSeq lists it as uncharacterized. The transcript has 4 exons. NCBI's taxonomy places the organism in Eukaryota, Metazoa, Chordata, Aves, Passeriformes, Fringillidae. The record is from RefSeq and is a predicted model, not a curated record.